RNAcentral lists this long non-coding RNA (4558 nucleotides) under Oreochromis niloticus (Nile tilapia). RNAcentral describes it as "lncRNA (ENSONIG00000014891.2)". Lineage: Eukaryota; Metazoa; Chordata; Actinopteri; Cichliformes; Cichlidae. The record is from RNAcentral.
GAAAAGUAUAGUAGUCAAACUGCUUGUUCUAGAAACUAGACAGAUAUGUAAGAUAUGUCCUCACUCUAGUAAUCAAACCAUUCAAAAAGAUGAACUAAAUAAAAUAAGGAUUAGGUCGUACAUUUAAACAAGCUUCUCAUUGCAGAUCUGCUCCGAGCUUGAAGAAUCCUCCAGCUGGUCUCUUUCUGGUGAACUGGAGGCUCUGGAGAGUCUUCAGGUUUAUCAUAUUCCACUGAACACCUCUGCAUCCUCUGGUACUCCACCACUGCUCGCGGAGGAGAUCCAGGGCAUCCUUAAGGACUUUGUCGACCGGCGUAGUUCUGUUUUAGCCUGCCACCCCAGCAGUAGGACCUCUUCCACAGAGGGAGUAGCAGGCAGUGUGGAGUUCUCCCAGGGAUCGUCUGGUAUCAAUGACAUGGAUGGUUCAGACAUAGAGAGAGCAGAAGGAGGCAAUGGCGACACAGUGGCAAUAGCAAGGUAGAAUGUCUGAAUGUCUACAGUUUUUAGACAAAAAUUUAUGUUCACUCAUACUUUUGUUUUAUCUCCUGCAAACAGGGUAAUGGGAGAUGGUGAAGAGGACGCAGGAGGUGCAGGUGUCAAUGUCGGUGGGGAGCUAGUGAGCCCUGACAGUGGAAUGACCACCAUUCGUAGCAGCCGCUCCUCCAAAGAGAGUUCGGUUUUCCUUAGUGAUGACAGUCCAGUGGGUGAGGUGAUAGCUGGUGGUGGUCCAGCAGCAGGGCCAGGAGGACUCUUUCUGAGAAACCCCUCUCCUUUGGGGUUGUUAUCUCUUUCCCCUCCUGUCCCACCAGAGAGAAGGAAACACCGCUCGAGCAGACAAAGGAGUGAUAACUUUGACCUGUUUCAUUUUGACCCGCUGCAUAGCAGUGACCAGUCUAUGCCAGCAGGAGGAGAAGUGACAAAUUCUGGAGAAAGAGGAGAUGAAGAUGAAAGAAGAGCAGGGAGCUCUAGUCUGUCAGAGCUUGACGAGCUAAGCUUUCUUGAUUUCUCUGCUCCCAACUCAGUGGGAGGUCUUGAAAGUGGAAAUUGUUCAAUUGAUCGCCGUGGUUCAAGCCAUGGGAAUGAGAUGAUUGACACCGUGGUCCCUCCAACCCCGGUCAACAGCCUGGUUGGUAGCCGCCCACCCAGCAGUUGUGGCGUCAGGUUCUUUCCAGAAGAUGUUGUUGAAAGGAUCAAUUGCCUACAGCAUAAAGACAGUGUGUCAUCUUCUUUGUCGGAGACCUGGGAUGAACUGGGCUUUGACACACAAGGAGCAUUGUCCUCAAGUGAUAAUAAUAUGUGGAAUAGACCCAAAGAUUCUGAGAGCCCACCUAAUAUUUUAGAAGAAGUUGGAGGCAAAGACUUAGUCGGUAACAUGACAGAAAAGGAAAGCAGACAAGAGAUCUUAAAGUCAGAGAAUUCCCACCACAAAGGGAAAAGUCUUGAACCUCAGCUUAGUUUGAUCACAGAGCAGACUGAAUCCUAUGAAAACUGGAACCCCGAUUCUGCACUUAAGGGUGAGUGGAAACCCAUUACUUUGGUUGAUCUCCAGCUGACACCACCAGAGGAAGACUUAACUGGAAAAGGCAAACCUGCUAUUAUUGGAGCACAAGAAAGAGCAGCUUUGGCCACAAAGAAAACAAUCCUGAACACUUUAACACCAGACACGUCUAAAGAAGAGGACGAAGGGGUCCACGGAAAAAAAAGAGAGCAACAGAUGGAGCUUUUAGACUUCUGGACGUACUCUGCACAGAAGGGAUUUCUUAAAUCUGAUAGCGGGACCACCACGUCUUACCCCGAAUCACUGGAUAUGUGGAAUAUGACAAUCCGGGAUGACAGUUUAUCACCUCUCACAACCCCUGAGAACUUAUCUCAAAACUCUGGUUCUUUCUGUGGAUUGAACACCAAUAUCAAGGGUGGAACAUCUGUAGAAAGUCCACUAGGAUACUCAGAUGGUGGAAUGGAGAUGUGGAACACCACCAUACAGGAAGAUAGCUCUUCCGCAUUGACGACUCCAGAAGCACCUGAAAAUGGAAAGGACCUUAGUCACAUGGAUUCAAUGGAUCCCAGUGACACUGUCGGGACACAUGCCAACAAAAAGGAAGAAGAAGAAGCCAAUUUAGAAGAGAAAAGUGAUACGUGUGAAGCAUUUAAGCAGACUUCUGAAGUUGUGAAAAUAGUCAUCGAGGCUGCAGAGGGAACAAUGCAGAGUGAAGAAACAGAAGGCAUCGAUGUACAAGGUGCUCAGAGUCGCAAGAACUCUGCAGAAGAUGACGAUGACACAUCCACCUAUGAGGGCACUGACGUGUGGCAGUUACCCAUCUGUGGCAUGGUGACCUCUACCUCUGAAUAUGACAAUGUAGGAGCAGGUACGUGGAGCCUGGCAUCCUCCCCUGACACCUCUGGCUGCCCUGUAGCAGACAUGAUACAGCUUGAGGAGCAGUCUAGCCCUUUUAUAGCUGUGAGCAAACCCAUUCUGACAGAUCAGAGAGUAGAUAUCACAAAUAAAGAACAGCCAGACGACCAAGUGUUUCUGUUUGAGGCAGCCAGUGAGAUGGGUGGCCGAAGCAGAGAAGGAUCAGAGGAGAUUGAGUGGAUAGAGCAACCCAGAGAUCAUUCCCCAUUUCUUCUGGUCAACUGCUCCACCGGCACUCGGCAAAUUUCACAGUGUCCAGAGGAAGCUGCUGAACCACAAAUCCAGGCUGAACAAACAUUCCCAGCCUAUGUGACGACCAGUGAAGGUGAGCAGGUGGGAGCUACAGAUGAGAUCAGUAGACAUGUAGAUGGAAAAACAACAGAAACUGUAUCUCUGAGCGUCAGUCCUGGUGGCGAGAAGGACCUACUGGAAAACCCAGACAGUGGUCGCACAGAUAGUCCAGAUGAACUUGGCCUAGAAAUGGAAUACAUCAUCGUAUCUGGCACAGUAAAAGAAGCUACAAAAGAGUGGCAUGACAGAACUAAACGGAGUGAAAGGCAAUCAAAGGGAACAAAGAAGUCCCUGGAGACAUUUAGCAUGCUGUCCUAUGCUGCCUCGGUACUGCAACGUCAGGCUCAAGCUGCAAAACCAAAAUAUGACAAAGACACACCGCCAAGUAAGCUACACCAAGUCAGAGGAACCGACAGUGCUCCCAAUACAGACCAAAAUCAACCUGUCAGAUCAACUCAUUACGAAGCAACUCGUGAUAGUGCCACUGACUCUCAGGUGGUUCCAGAAAUUAUCAGUCCCAGCCAAUCGAAAAAUGACUCCGAAGCUUUUCAUCAGUCUGAUUCAAAACCAACAAGCUCCAGUCAGUCAGAAGGAAAUUAUGACAGUGAGUCAAGCAUUGUGCCCCGCAGUGUGUCUCCAUCAUUAAGAUAUCCAUCAGAUCACUUCUUGAAAACCAGAGAGGAGGUUUAUGUCCACUCACAGAUCUCGAUGGAAGAUUCAGACGAAGGCGGAGAGACGCCACCGGCUCCUUCUCCAUGUCCUGCUUCCUUGGGUGACUUCCAAGUCUGGGGGGCUCAGUUAAGGAGAGAGGACACAUCCCAAACCACGUCGGAGCCACAAUCCCCUGUGCUUACCAACAGUUCGGCCUCUCAUGCCAGCUCUCUGAUAAGCACCCCAGUAAAUGAAACGAGUAUUUCCAUUGACAAAAGACUCGGAUUACCAUUUUCUGGAGAUUUAAUGGAAGAGGAAAAUGACGAUGAGGAACAGGAUGAGGAAACUGACACACUAGAGAACGCUGUCCUUCCAAAAUGGACUUCAGAAGUGCAAAGAGAGAGGGAAGAAAGACAAGAGUUUGCAUCUUCAGACCUGCUGAGCUUUAGUGAUGACCUGAUUGGAGGGUCUUCAUUUCAGCAAGCAGGAUUACAAACACAUGAGCAAAAGAGAGAUGGGUUUCCACUGAACAGAGUGGAUUACUGUGAUGGACGACCUAUAAGGACUGAAGAUUGGGAUAAAUGGUCUAUUGAACAACAGCCUGGAGACACUGGAGCUUCACAAGAUAAUUAUUUACCUGAUUUAAGAAGACACCAAGACGUAACACCAGAACUGUCAUCCCACCCUGCUCAAGAAAAUGCCGCAUACCAGUGGUCCGGACAACAGAACACAACUCAGGGUCAAACCCAGUAUGGCUAUAACUAUCAUCACAUCGACCAAAGAACUGAAAACCAGUGCACCUAUCCAGCCUUUGUAGAGAGCAAAUCCAGCCGACAGCAGGAUGCCACUGACGUCUAUGCCGAGUUUACAACUGAUGCCACGGCUACAAAAUACAGAUACGAGCAGACUGAUAACUAUUUUGAAGCUGGAGAUAAAUCUCCAAACCGCUUGGGUGACACACACUUCAGGUGUCAGGACACAGCUGAAAGUCAGUAUAUAGUUGCCUCCACCUCUUUGUGCACUUCUGACUUCCAAUACUCUCAGUAUCCAGCUAACAGCCAGGGUCAGUAUGAGUCUCAGUCAGACCAUGCUCAUUAUCAGUCUGAAGGGAAGGCUUUCUAUCAAUCAGAUGUCCACACUGAGACAGAGGAUCACGCACGGUAUGUGCUGGAGGGAUAUGUUCAUUUUCCCCUGUCAAGGUGA